CCGAGUUACAACUCCCAAACCCCUGUGAACAUACCUAUAUGUUGCCUCGGCGGAUCAGCCGCGCCCCGUAAAACGGGACGGCCCGCCGCAGGAUCCACAAACUCUGUUUUUAUUGUAAACUUCGAGUAAACAAACAAAUAAAU
This 143-nucleotide unclassified non-coding RNA is filed under the name soil metagenome. Its description in RNAcentral is "partial internal transcribed spacer 1". The record is from RNAcentral.